AUGUGAGAAUCAUUAACGCCGUAAACCCAAGGUUUCCUACGCGAUGCUCGUCAUCGUAGGGUUAGUCGGGUCCUAAGUCGAGUCCGAAAGGGGUAGACGAUGGCAAAUUGGUUAAUAUUCCAAUACCAACAUUAGUGUGCGAUGGAAGGACGCUUAGGGCUAAGGGGGCUAGCGGAUGGAAGUGCUAGUCUAAGGUCGUAGGAGGUUAUACAGGCAAAUCCGUAUAACAAUACUCCGAGAACUGAAAGGCUUUUUGAAGUCUUCGGAUGGAUAGAAGAACCCCUGAUGCCGUCGAGCCAAGAAAAGUUUCUAAGUUUAGCUAAUGUUGCCCGUACCGUAAACCGACACAGGUGGGUGGGAUGAGUAUUCUAAGGCGCGUGGAAGAACUCUCUUUAAGGAACUCUGCAAAAUAGCACCGUAUCUUCGGUAUAAGGUGUGGUUAGCUUUGUAUUAGGAUUUACUCCGAAAGCAAGGAAACUUACAACAAAGAGUCCCUCCCGACUGUUUACCAAAAACACAGCACUCUGCUAACUCGUAAGAGGAUGUAUAGGGUGUGACGCCUGCCCGGUGCUCGAAGGUUAAUUGAUGGGGUUAGCAUUAGCGAAGCUCUUGAUCGAAGCCCGAGUAAACGGCGGCCGUAACUAUAACGGUCCUAAGGUAGCGAAAUUCCUUGUCGGUUAAAUACCGACCUGCAUGAAUGGCGUAACGAGAUGGGAGCUGUCUCAAAGAGGGAUCCAGUGAAAUUGUAGUGGAGGUGAAAAUUCCUCCUACCCGCGGCAAGACGGAAAGACCCCGUGGACCUUUACUACAGCUUGACACUGCUACUUGGAUAAGAAUGUGCAGGAUAGGUGGGAGGCUUUGAGUAUAUGACGCCAGUUGUAUAUGAGCCAUUGUUGAGAUACCACUCUUUCUUAUUUGGGUAGCUAACCAGCUUGAGUUAUCCUCAAGUGGGACAAUGUCUGGUGGGUAGUUUGACUGGGGCGGUCGCCUCCCAAAUAAUAACGGAGGCUUACAAAGGUUGGCUCAGAACGGUUGGAAAUCGUUCGUAGAGUAUAAAGGUAUAAGCCAGCUUAACUGCAAGACAUACAAGUCAAGCAGAGACGAAAGUCGGUCUUAGUGAUCCGGUGGUUCUGUGUGGAAGGGCCAUCGCUCAAAGGAUAAAAGGUACCCCGGGGAUAACAGGCUGAUCUCCCCCAAGAGCUCACAUCGACGGGGAGGUUUGGCACCUCGAUGUCGGCUCAUCGCAUCCUGGGGCUGGAGCAGGUCCCAAGGGUAUGGCUGUUCGCCAUUUAAAGCGGUACGCGAGCUGGGUUCAGAACGUCGUGAGACAGUUCGGUCCCUAUCUGCCGUGGGCGUAAGAAGAUUGAAGAGAUUUGACCCUAGUACGAGAGGACCGGGUUGAACAAACCACUGGUGUAGCUGUUGUUCUGCCAAGAGCAUCGCAGCGUAGCUAAGUUUGGAAAGGAUAAACGCUGAAAGCAUCUAAGCGUGAAGCCAACUCUAAGAUGAAUCUUCUCUAAGCUCUCUAGAAGACUACUAGUUUGAUAGGCUGGGUGUGUAAUGGAUGAAAGUCCUUUAGCUGACCAGUACUAAUAGAGCGUUUGGCUUAUCUUUAAUAAAGCAU
Molecule: ribosomal RNA, 1624 nt
Filed under: Campylobacter jejuni
Lineage: Bacteria; Pseudomonadati; Campylobacterota; Epsilonproteobacteria; Campylobacterales; Campylobacteraceae
Description: partial 23S ribosomal RNA
Rfam family: Bacterial large subunit ribosomal RNA
Source: RNAcentral